AGAGUUUGAUCCUGGCUCAGAUUGAACGCUGGCGGCAUGCCUUACACAUGCAAGUCGAACGGUAACGCGGGGGCAACCCUGGCGACGAGUGGCGAACGGGUGAGUAAUACAUCGGAACAUAUCCAGUAGCGGGGGAUAACCUAUCGAAAGAUGGACUAAUACCGCAUACGAUCUACGGAUGAAAGCAGGGGACCGCAAGGCCUUGCACUAUUGGAGUGGCCGAUGUCGGAUUAGCUAGUUGGUGGGGUAAAGGCUUACCAAGGCGACGAUCCGUAGCUGGUCUGAGAGGACGAUCAGCCACACUGGAACUGAGACACGGUCCAGACUCCUACGGGAGGCAGCAGUGGGGAAUUUUGGACAAUGGGCGCAAGCCUGAUCCAGCCAUGCCGCGUGAGUGAAGAAGGCCUUCGGGUUGUAAAGCUCUUUCGGUGAAGACGAAAGGGUUAGCGCUAAUAACGCUGACUAAUGACGGUACUCACAGAAGAAGCACCGGCUAACUACGUGCCAGCAGCCGCGGUAAUACGUAGGGUGCAGGCGUUAAUCGGAAUUACUGGGCGUAAAGCGUGCGCAGGCGGUUUGCUAAGACAGGUGUGAAAUCCCCGGGCUUACCUGGGAAUUGCGCUUGUAACUGGCAAGCUAGAGUGUGGCAGAGGGGGGUGGAAUUCCACGUGUAGCAGUGAAAUGCGUAGAUAUGUGGAGGAACACCGAUGGCGAAGGCAGCCCCCUGGGUUAACACUGACGCUCAUGCACGAAAGCGUGGGGAGCAAACAGGAUUAGAUACCCUGGUAGUCCACGCCCUAAACUAUGUCAACUAGUUGUCGGGGAAGAAAUUCCUUGGUAACGAAGCUAACGCGUGAAGUUGACCGCCUGGGGAGUACGGCCGCAAGGUUAAAACUCAAAGGAAUUGACGGGGACCCGCACAAGCGGUGGAUUAUGUGGAUUAAUUCGAUGCAACGCGAAAAACCUUACCUACCCUUGACAUGCUAGGAAGCCCGCAGAGAUGUGGGUGUGCCCGAAAGGGAACCUAGACACAGGUGCUGCAUGGCUGUCGUCAGCUCGUGUCGUGAGAUGUUGGGUUAAGUCCCGCAACGAGCGCAACCCUUGCCAUUAGUUGCUACAUUCAGUUGGGCACUCUAAUGGGACCGCCGGUGACAAACCGGAGGAAGGUGGGGAUGACGUCAAGUCCUCAUGGCCCUUAUGGGUAGGGCUUCACACGUAAUACAAUGGUCGGUACGGAGGGCUGCCAACCCGCAAGGGGGAGCUAAUCCCAGAAAGCCGAUCGUAGUCCGGAUUGUAGUCUGCAACUCGACUGCAUGAAGCCGGAAUCGCUAGUAAUCGCGGAUCAGCAUGUCGCGGUGAAUACGUUCCCGGGUCUUGUACACACCGCCCGUCACACCAUGGGAGUGGGUUCCACCAGAAGUAGUUAGCCUAACCGCAAGGAGGGCGAUUACCACGGUGAGAUUCAUGACUGGGGUGAAGUCGUAACAAGGUA
RNAcentral lists this ribosomal RNA (1492 nucleotides) under metagenome. RNAcentral describes it as "bacterial SSU rRNA". It matches the Rfam family "Bacterial small subunit ribosomal RNA". The record is from RNAcentral.